CCAAAGGCUGACCCCAUCAGGGUCAUGUUCUGCGACCGCAGAAGGUACUUAAAAUGAUAGCAUGGACCUCAUUGUAGUAGAUCACAUUGAGAAUUUUGUUUCCGGUCUACUAUGGCUAUUUUCUUCACCAAACCAAAUAUAAAUAAAACUGGUCAUUGUAUGUUGGUGGGCGUUUUGCCCCUUUAACAUGUGAAAAUGUA
RNAcentral lists this unclassified non-coding RNA (200 nucleotides) under uncultured fungus. RNAcentral describes it as "sequence contains ITS1". Lineage: Eukaryota; Fungi. The record is from RNAcentral.